Molecule: ribosomal RNA, 467 nt
Filed under: uncultured bacterium
Lineage: Bacteria
Description: partial 16S ribosomal RNA
Rfam family: Bacterial small subunit ribosomal RNA
Source: RNAcentral
GACGAACGCUGGCGGCGUGCUUAACACAUGCAAGUCGAACGGAAAGGCCUCUUUCGGGGGGUACUCGAGUGGCGAACGGGUGAGUAACACGUGAGUAACCUGCCCUCUACUCUGGGAUAACUCCAGGAAACAGGGGCUAAUACAGGAGAGGAGCUCCUGCGGCACGGGGGGGGUUGGGGAGUGUCGGCGGUUGGGGAUGGACUCGCGGCGUAUCUGCUUGUUGGUGGGGGAGUGGCUUACCCAGGCUUUGACGGGUAGCCGGCCCGGGAGGGUGACCGGCCCCCUUGGGGCUGGGGUUCGGCCCAGGCUCCUACGGGGGGCCACCGUGGGGAAUAAUUCACCAUGGGUGGGAGCCUGAUGCAGCAACGCCGUGUGCGGGAUGGCGGCCUUCGGGUUGUAAACCGCUUUCGCUCAUGACGGAGCUUUGUGUGACGGUAGUGGGUAAAGAAGCACCGGCUAACUACGUG